AUGGCGGGUGAACAUUGGUACGACGGUCUUCAUAAAGGGUAUGACAAAGAGCAUCGUGCGCGGGACAUUGAGAAUCACAGGGAACUAAAACCUAUGCGCAUGAGGGGUCAUAGUGCCCACGACUGGCUGUGCGACGAGCGGUAUGGGCCAUACUUCGAGAGAUUGGGCCUUCUCCCGUUUGUGCUUCAGUUCAAGCGGCAUGCUCCGUUGAUCAACCACGGGGCGAUGACCGCACUUAUUGACCGUUGGAGGCCAGAGACACACUCGUUCCACUUGUCAUGUGGAGAGAUGACCGUGACCUUGGAGGACAUGGCGAUGAUCAGUGGCCUUCCAAUCAAUGGAGAAGCUUUGACCGGCACCACCAUAACUGCUAAUUGGCGAGAUCGUGUUGGCCAAUUGACAGGUGUCUUCCCCGUGCCUCCUGAAGAAGGCGAGCAUGACAGUGAGAAAGUGUUGCAUCAUUGGCUCCGAGAG
RNAcentral lists this ribosomal RNA (474 nucleotides) under Triticum aestivum (bread wheat). RNAcentral's name for it is "partial small subunit ribosomal RNA". Lineage: Eukaryota; Viridiplantae; Streptophyta; Magnoliopsida; Poales; Poaceae. The record is from RNAcentral.